AUGAGGUUCGACAUUUUGGAAGAUGCCAAGGUGCAUUACAAUGCAUAUUCCUUGCAGAUGGGGUUUUCAAUCAAAAUGAAUAGUUCAAGGAAGGAUAUGAAAACUGGGGAGUUGAUAAAACAACAGUUUGUUUGCAACAAGUUUCGAAAGCCUGGUGUUGAUGACGGAGGGGCAGAAAAGAUUCCCAUGCUAGAUGACAUUGUUGAACAAGCAAAAGAUGAUAAUGAAGAUGAGGCUAUUGUCUUUCUUGAUGAUGAUAGUAAGGGCAAAAAGAGCAGCAAGAAACGAAAAAGAGAUAAAAUUGUAUAA
This 309-nucleotide ribosomal RNA is filed under the name Triticum aestivum (bread wheat). Its description in RNAcentral is "partial small subunit ribosomal RNA". The record is from RNAcentral. Lineage: Eukaryota; Viridiplantae; Streptophyta; Magnoliopsida; Poales; Poaceae.